RNA transcript from Oncorhynchus gorbuscha (pink salmon), 3557 nucleotides. It is a transcript of the gene named PR domain zinc finger protein 4-like, with no coding region annotated. The record is from RefSeq and is a predicted model, not a curated record. The transcript has 14 exons. NCBI's taxonomy places the organism in Eukaryota, Metazoa, Chordata, Actinopteri, Salmoniformes, Salmonidae.
CAGAUGUUCAUCCCGCAGCGCAGCUUCCUGCAUGAGCAUGCGCAUGCUCAGUGUGUCACGCUGUCAUGGACCCGAAGAGGAAGCCUUUUGCCAGCAGAAUGCACACAUUUCACACUAUCUUGGAUGAGCACACACUGCCGAAGUCAGAAUGAAUGACAUGAACCUCAGCCCUGUUGGGAUGGACCAGUUAAGUGUGCCCGCUGGGAGUGCCAGUCAUCUGGGUCUACCCACCUCCCCAACACACAACCCCAUCACUACACCAGGUAUGUCUGUGGCUAUACCCAGCCUGGGGCCCUCUCUUGGGUCUCUGCCCUCUGCUCUGUCGCUCAUGCUGCCAAUGGGUCCUCUUGGUGACCGAGGGGUCAUGUGUGGCCUUCCAGAGAGGAACUACUCGUUACCUCCCCCCCCCUACCCACACCUGGAGAGUAGCUACUUCAGACACAUACUGCCAGGUAUUCUGUCUUACCUGGCAGACCGGCCUCCCCCUCAGUACAUUCACCCCAGCAGUCUGAACAUGGACGGGACUCUCUCUGUGUCCAGCCAGAACCCCUCAGGGCUGGACCCUUACAGUGGCCCUGGAGGCCCUCUGGAACAGGGCCUGGUGUCCCUGGACUCCCGUCAGGUCAGUGGCCAGGGAGACCUCCACCAGGGUGGGGGCCACGAGGUGCAGAUGAACUCCACAGGGCUGAACAUGGAGUCCCGGGUCAGCAGCCCCAUGUCCCCAGACAGGAUGGGAGAGGACCUGGCCAACAUGGAGGGGGUGGUGGGGGCUGAGAACCAACAGCAGCUGGGAGGGAGGGGCCAGAAUCACGAGGGCCUGGGAAGAGUUGAGUCCUCUGGGGGCGUGAUGCCCCUGCACGGGCCUGGCCUGGAGCUUCCUGUGGGGAUGGAGCCAGAGCACCUAGGGGGCCGGGUGGGGAACUCAGGGGGAGGCGGUCUGGGGGAGUCUUUACACAGCUCAGGGGAGCUGAACUCUGGGGUGGUGAGUGUGGUGCUCACCCAGUCCCAGCUGGAGCCUGUGUCCCUCCAUGGUCAUUCGGGCAUGGGCCUAGAGUCGGUGAACGUGUCCCCCAUCACGGCAGAGGUGUCCAUGGGGUCAGAGAACAGCCUGUUGCUGGUCAACUCCACCCUGCAGCUGGAGGACUCCACCUCCAACAAGGAGAAUAUGGUCACUGCCUUCACCAUCUGGUGUACGCUGUGUGAGCGCUCGUAUCCCUCCGACUGCCCAGAGCACGGCCCAGUCACCUUUAUCCCUGACACGCCCAUCCAGAGCAGAGCCCGACUGUCCCUUCCUCGCCCGCUCUGCCUCCGCAUCUCUGUAGCUGAUGAGCCUUUUGGAGUGUUUGCUCGGGACAUCAUACCUCCCAGGACCUGCUUUGGACCCAUGGUGGGUCAGCACUGUAGCAACGUAGACCUGCAAGACUGGUCAGACAAGGACACCCCUCAGAUAUGGAAGAUGUUCCACAACAACGUGCUGGAGUUCUGUAUCGUGACCACAGAUGAGAAUGAAUGCAACUGGAUGAUGUUUGUCCGCAAGGCAAGGACCAGAGAGGAGCAGAACCUGGUGGCCUACCCUGACAACGGGAAGCUGUUCUUCUGCACGUCCACUGAGAUCCUCCCAGACCAGGAGCUGCUCUUCUACUACACCAGGGACUACUGCAGGCAGAUGGGGGUCCCUCAGGUCCCAGAGGGCCAGGUGUGCCAGUGCGGCAAAGAGUGCCAGUCCUUCGCCGAGCUCAAGUCCCACCUGAGCAGCCACAACAACCACGGCCAUUCCCACAGCCCCAGCCAGGACCACCACCAGGAGGGCAAGCUGCCCAGCGGUACCUCCAUCUCCUCCUCAUCCCCCUGGGCGUGCCACUCCCACAACAGCAGCCUCUCUCAUAACACGAACAACUCUGGCUCCAACACACACAGACACUCGCUUGAGAGGAAGUACAAGUGCAGUAUGUGCUCGCGGGCAUUCACCACGUCCACUAAGCUCAACGUGCACUUCAUGGGACACGUGGGGAUGAAGCCGCACAAGUGUGAAUACUGCAGCAAGGCCUUCAGUGAUCCGAGCAACCUGAGGAUGCACCUCAAGAUACACACAGGUCAGAAGAACUACAGGUGCAAUGUGUGUGAGAAGUCGUUCACUCAGAAGGCCCACAUGGCGUCUCAUAUGGUGAUUCACACGGGGGCCAAGAACUUCAAGUGUGACCUGUGUGACAGGAUGUUCAUCAGGAAGCAGGACCUCAAGCAGCACAUGUUCACACAUACACAAGAGCGACAGAUCCACUGCCCCAAGUGUGACAAACAUUUCUUGAGGACCAACCACUUGAAGAAGCACAUGAACUCCCAUGAGGGCCGCCGGGACUACAUCUGUGAGAAGUGUGAGAAGGGCUUCCUCACCAAAUACCACCUCACCAGACACCUCAAGAUCUGCAAAGGCCCCAAGACUGACCGUGGGGCCCAGGAAGAGGAGGGGGAGGAAGAGGAUGAUGAUGAUGAAGAAGAUGAUGAUGAUGAUGAGGAAGGAGAGGAAGUCGAGAGACUGAUAGAUCCAGAUAGCAGAGAAGACUGUGGGUUAGAGGGAUAUGAUUCUGAGAAACCUUUGUCCUCACACAAUUGACUGUGACCUCAAUGUGCCAUUACUAGAAAUGCUAAUUUAUUUACUUAUUUUUAACUGUUAGUUUGUUUUGCCAAAAUCUCAUUUGUUGUGUCAGGUUAAGGUUUAUUUUCAAAUAUCAGUUUAACAUUGGGCACAAUCAAACAAGGAUCAUCCAGAUUUUGAUGUAGAGGUAGUGUAUGUGCUUAGGCUUCAUGUUUUAUUUCUUCAGGUACAUUUCCCUUGCCUAACAGCUAAACAUCAAUUGUUUUCCCGCUGCUCUAUCAUCGCUCCAUACAUACAUCAGUAUGAAACUGCCAUCCUAGAAGUCGUUUGUGCCGACGUGACGUGAUUCAUGUAGGCCUGGCUUUGGCCCAACCCAUUGGUCACUGGGGCCAAUCUGAAUGUGUUUGCAUUCUUAAAGAGUCGGGGAGGAAAGCAAAUUCAGACUCAUCAUAGAGAACAAACGUUAGCUGGUGUGCCAUUUGGCCGGAGCGAUGUGGCUGGGUAGCCAGGCAAUAAUCAUCCUAGAAAAAGUUAUGUUUUAACUCAAAAGCCAUGGCCUUUUAACACACAAUAGUUAUGUUUUUUUUUUAACAGUGGUCAUCUCUUUAUGGAAUAGAUAAUGAGUUUGAGUCUCUGGAUGCUGACGGCUAGCUAGAUGCUGGCUCUGCUGCUGGUUGAAUGUUGAAGAGGUAUUACCCGAUCCACAUCUCAGUGUCAUGUUUUGAAAAGGGGCGGGUGUACAGAACGGAAGUAGUUAGACUGCUCUAGGACAUUACACUUCCGGUUGAAAUACAAAAUUUGUGCAGCGCCGUUGGAGCUAACGGGGAGGGCAUGUCUACUCUUAUCGACAGGACGAUGAGGAUGAGGAGGGAGGAGCAGGCGCGCCAGGUGGUCCUCGCCUGGGCAGUCCUCAAUGUGUCGCUAGCUGGCAUGAUCUACACAGAGAUGUCAGGGAAACUGCUGA